This 334-nucleotide unclassified non-coding RNA is filed under the name soil metagenome. Its description in RNAcentral is "partial contains 5.8S ribosomal RNA, internal transcribed spacer 2, and large subunit ribosomal RNA". The stretch from base 1 to 120 matches the Rfam family "5.8S ribosomal RNA", at positions 35 to 154 of the family's 154-position model. The record is from RNAcentral.
GAUGAAGAACGUAGCGAAAUGCGAUAAGUAGUGUGAAUUGCAGAAUUCAGUGAAUCAUCGAAUCUUUGAACGCACAUUGCGCCCUUUGGUAUUCCUUAGGGCAUGCCUGUUCGAGCGUCAUUUAAACCUUCAAGCUCAGCUUGGUGUUGGGUGACUGUCCGCUUCACCGCGGACUCGCCUCAAAAUUAUUGGCGGCCGGUACAUUGGCUCUCGAGCGCAGCAGAAACGCGUAACUCGAGGUCCUCGUGCUGGCUCCCAGAAGCUAUCUUCACAAUUUUGAACUCGGAUCAGGUAGGGAUACCCGCUGAACUUAAGCAUAUCAAUAAGCGGAGGA